This 162-nucleotide ribosomal RNA is filed under the name Vibrio alginolyticus. Its description in RNAcentral is "partial 23S ribosomal RNA". It matches the Rfam family "Bacterial large subunit ribosomal RNA", at positions 2769 to 2925 of the family's 2925-position model. Lineage: Bacteria; Pseudomonadati; Pseudomonadota; Gammaproteobacteria; Vibrionales; Vibrionaceae. The record is from RNAcentral.
CGCUGAAAGCAUCUAAGCGGGAAGCGAGCCUUGAGAUGAGUUCUCCCUGAUACUUUAAGUAUCCUAAAGGGUUGUCGGAGACUACGACGUUGAUAGGUCAGGUGUGUAAGUGCUGCGAGGCAUUGAGCUAACUGAUACUAAUUGCCCGUGAGGCUUAACCAU